RNAcentral lists this non-coding RNA (30 nucleotides) under Homo sapiens (human). The record is from RNAcentral. Lineage: Eukaryota; Metazoa; Chordata; Mammalia; Primates; Hominidae.
GACAGCCGAAAUGCCAGAAAAUUGUGUGGA